GGUGCAGAGAUCACGUGCUGAAAACUCACUGCCCCAGGGUGUGUCCUUGCCAAGACGUGUGGAGCUGCCACUGCCACACCUGUGUGCCCAGAGAGGGGAAAGCCGGGGCAGCCAGCCUCCUUUUGGCUGCUUUGGGCCAUAGGCAAGGACUUAGUCCCAGGGUCACACUUGGCUGCUAGGGAGGCCGGGCAAGGUCAUCUGUAGCUGGGCGGCCGUGUGCCGCAGAAAAGGGAAGAGCGUGUUUGUGGGAGACGACUGCAGGUCCGCAGAGUGGGAUCACGUGGAGACGAAACGACAGGGGCCCGCACUUGGUGGUGGGGGAAGAUGGGGAAAGGCUCUCAGUGCGUUUGCUGACUAGAGUCAUCAUGGCAGUUUACUCAGAGAGGAGAAGCCUAGUCUGCCUGCAGGCAUCGGCCAGGGCUGUCCUGGGGACAGAGCAGGCUGAGCUUUGAGGCAGGAGCGCAGCUGGCUCCCGGGCCUCUCGAGGACAGCUAGGCGUUACUCCACCUGGCUCUGCUCUUUCCCCUCUUCGUUCACCCACGAUGUUCCUUCAUCCACCGUCCUGUUGUCUUGUGGGUUAGGGCUGAUGUUUUCGCAGGUCUCAAGCUUUUUUUUCUACCCCAUCCCCCAGGCAUCUUGGCUCUGGAGAAAGCUGCGUGGCAAGAGGCGGUUGGUGACGGCAUUCUGCCUCUUAAUGGCUCUGUCUGUGGUGGCUGUCACCCGCUUCCCUCCACAGCACCCAGCCGCCAGCCCAGACCCUGGUCCCGUGGAGCCCCAGCAGGUAACUGGUGCCCCUGUCCCCCAGAGCAGGCAGGCUCUGAGCUCCGGCUGGAGGCGGCGGGCAAGAAACCUGAGGUUCCGGAGAGGCUGGGCCUUGCCUGGGAGCUCCAUCCUGGUGUGUGCUGAGGAGCAAGGCCACGGAGGGAGCGUGGACAGCAGCAGGCAGUCCCCAGGCAUGGACAGCAGGCGUCCAGGGAGGGUCAAGAGGGGCAUUACUUUGGCACCUCCAGGAGAUCUGAGACUCAGUACCCGGCAUCUGGUGCUCCUGAGGGCAGAUGAGGUCAGGGGUCCAGGAACCAAAGACCUGGACCUCCCCUGGCACAGUGGUCCCCUCUGGGAGGCACAGAGCGAGACGGGCACCCCAGAUGGCCCCCUCGCAGGGCACAACAUGGCAGCAUUACAGACUUGGAGAGCUACUGCUGGACCGACCCUCCGGCCUCAUCCAGCAGAAGGCGGGGAUCUGCCAGGACUGAGGAACAGAGCCUUGACUGGUGGACGACAAGCAGGGGGUCCCUCCCCGGCCACGGGGGCUCGUCAGUGGCCUGGCUCUGUUGGGGAGCUGCAAGGAUCUGUGUGGUGUGACGCUGAGACCCCCAGGCUGUCGAGUGGCUUGAGGACCAGCGAACAGGUGCCCCCGUGGCUCACAGAGCAGGAUGUACAGACCCUCCAGCUGCUGGCGCAGGGGCAGGUGGUGGGCAAAGCCAGGGUCCCUGGCCACGGGCAGGUGCUGCAGGUUGGCUUCUCCGCCAAGGGUGCCCUUCAGGACCUGUCUCCGGGGCUCAGCCACCUCUGCUCCCAGGGGCUCUGUGGCCUGAUCAAGAGGCCUGGGGACCUGUCUGAGGUCCUGUCCUUCCACGUGGACCGUGUGCUGGGGCUGCGCCGGAGCCUACCUGCCGUGGCCAGGCGCUUCCACAGCCCCCUGCUGCCCUACCGCUACACGGACGGUGGCGCAAGGCCCGUCAUCUGGUGGGCACCCGACGUGCAGCACCUGGGUGAUCCAGAUGACGACCAGAACUCGCUGGCCUUGGGCUGGCUGCAGUACCAGGCCCUGCUGGCACGUGACUGCAGCCAGCCGGGCCAGGCCGCAUGCCUGGGCAUCCACCGCACUGAGUGGGCACGCCUGGCACUCUUCGACUUCCUGCUGCAGGUCCAUGACCGCCUGGAUCGCUAUUGCUGCGGCUUCGAGCCCGAGCCCUCGGACCCCUGUGUGGAAGAGAGGCUCCGAGAGAAAUGCCGGAACCCGGGGGAGCUGCGGCUGGUCCACAUCUUGGUCCGGAGCAGUGAUCUCUCUCAUCUGGUCUACAUCGAUAACGCCGGCAACCUUCAGCACCCGGAGCACAAGCUGAAUUUCCGGCUGCUGGAGGGCAUCGACGGGUUUCCUGAGUCUGUCGUGAAGGUUCUCGCAUCAGGGUGCCUACAGAAUAUGCUGCUCAAGUCGCUGCAGACAGACCCGGUGUUCUGGGAAAGCCAAGGCGGGCAGCAGGGCCUACGGCGGGUCCUCCAGACCCUGGAGCGGCGAGGGCAGGUCCUGCUGAGCCACAUCCAGACGCACAACCUGACACUCUUCAGGGACGAGGGCCCGUAAGCCCCCCACGGUCUGGGCGGGACUCUCACCUCACUGCAGGGGGAAGAAGCGGGGGCAUCUCACGACAUGACCUGAGUGGAUAAGUGCCCAUCCUCACGGCCACAUUUUCUUGGGUUUACCCGCCUUGAAGACAAAAGGGAAAAGCCAGAAAUCGGGAGGGCACCAUGGAUUCCACAGGACGUGUCAUCUGCUUGGGAUGGUGGAGGAGAUGGAAUCUCAUCUUCAUCUCCUCUCUCCUUUCUCUUCUGAACUGAUGAAUCGUCAUAUGCCAGUGAGAUCAUUUGCUCUUUAGGCCACACUGCUGACGCCAGCCUUAUUACUACUGCUUUUACAAAAUGUCUGUUUCACAAGCCGGGAUUAAGUUCUUGACAGAGGAACGAAAUAUGGGACAGAGCGCAUUCAAGAGCCUGGUCUUCAUCCCCCGAAACUCAGGCCAAGGGCUGGCGAUUUCUCCUGUGACGGCAAUCUAACGAGAGCAGGACAAACAGAGGGUUUCUUUUUCCUCCAGAAUGAUUUAGAAUGUCUUGCAGAUGAUUGCCCCCUUCUAGCCUGGCUAUGAAUCAGGUAGAUUCAAUCAGACUAGAAGAGUUUUUCCAAAAUUAAAGGAAGCAAAGCCAGCAAGCCUUCAACCUUGUCUUUGAUGAAUGUAAGACAACUGUAAGACAUUUGGCUCAAAUGUCUCCUCUGAGGUUAUGCAGUCUGAAAAUACACAUUGAAGAUCUCCCCCCAAACACUGAUAAAUACCCCCAAAUGAUAUAUUGCCCAGAGUGUUUGCUGAAUGAAGGAAAUUGUUGAAGGAUGGUGUUCCCCAUGUAGAAUUAGAGACCCAGAGCUCCUCUUAACUUCAGUGGGAGACUCCCAGCAGCGAGCAGUGGUGUUGCACGUCACGUCUGCGUGAAAGUCAACUUGCCUAUAGCUGGGCCUCCACAAACCAACUGCCGCCUUCAUCAGCAGACAUUCUCUUGCUAGAAUUUGUGUGUGGUGCACAGUGGAUUGUUUAGGUAGUUUGAAAAAAAAAAAUAGAGUCUCCUUGGGCGACUAAGCAACUGAGCUCAUCUGGGGCACCAUCCCAGGCAGAGACGUUAUCCAUCUUGCUGUCUCUCUGAGGUUUCAUCUGGAUAUAGUGCAUUCUCUAGUCAUGCUGCCUCUGGACAGUCAACCAAACAAUGGUGAAGGCUGAUGGAGAUACACAGAAGAAACUAAGUCAGGGACUACCGACAACUCUGGAGUCUUGUGAAGGGCUGGCUCGUUCAGAGGUUUCAAUAGGUAGAGUCGAUGGUAGGUGAAGUUGGUCAUUCUUGAAGAAUGAAAAGACACUCAGGGAGAAGUGAGAUGGACCACAGGAAGAAAAAAAUUAAAGAUGAACACUUUCAUUAAUGGAUCAUCCCCCCGCUCUCUUUGCCUGUUCUCCUUAAGCACCUUGGGUUGGAACUCCCAGCCCCCAACCUUGAAGGGCCAGCUGGAAAGGUACCUCCUUACUGGUUAAUAGUUAACAUGUACUGAACACUUAACCGUAUGACAGACAUUGGCCAAUAGCUUCACAGCCUUAUUCUAUCUGAUUUUCAUGCAGCCAUGUAAAAAGAUAAAGAAAAAUGUCUUAAAAACUGGCAAGAGAAUUCCUCUUAUGAGAGGGACUGUCUUUUGAAAAGCAACUACAUGAGGUGCUUGGUGAGGGUAGCAGAUACAGAAGUCUGCACUCAUCAGGAUCUCACUCUGCCCUCACUCCAACCCCCUUCCACCAGGCUGCCCACACUGGAGAUGGAGAAAUACAAACUCCGUCUCCCAGACUCUUUGCAACAAGGGAUCCCUGGGACCAAGUCUCCACCAAACAGAUGCACCCUAUAAAACGUGGAAGAAGAAAGAGAACGCCAUGAGGUGGUACCCCUGCCGGGGGAAAUGGUGGCAGAGGACGGUGGUUUCUCUAUAGCUGGCAGAGUCAGUGGUAUUUUCCAUCCCAUGGCACAGCAGCAUGAUCCCAGAGGUGGGGAGGCAGCUGCUCCCUCGGCAGUUCAGUUCUCAGACAUUGCGGGAAUUGUUCCUAGAAAACCAGUCUAGAGUCUGUUCCUCAUCCAUUCCAGUGAACCUCUGAGUCACCUAAUAUUCCUUAAUAAAUCCCAUUCUGUGUCCUC
Aethalodelphis obliquidens (Pacific white-sided dolphin) is the source of this 4494-nucleotide RNA transcript. It is a transcript of the gene named golgi associated kinase 1A, with no coding region annotated. The transcript is spliced from 5 exons. The record is from RefSeq and is a predicted model, not a curated record. Lineage: Eukaryota; Metazoa; Chordata; Mammalia; Artiodactyla; Delphinidae.